GCAACGAGCGCAACCCUUGUUCUUUAGUUGCCAUCAUUAAGUUGGGCACUCUAAAGAGACUGCCGGUGUCAAACCGGAAGGAAGGGUGGGGAUGACGUCAAGUCCUCAUGGCCUUUAUGACCAGGGCUACACACGUACUACAAUGGCAGGUACAAAGGGCAGCCACUUAGCGAUAAGGCGCGAAUCCCGUAAAACCUAGUCUCAGUCCGGAUUGGAGUCUGCAACUCGACUCCAUGAAGUUGGAGUCGCUAGUAAUCGCAGAUCAGCACGCUGCGGUGAAUACGUUCCCGGGCCUU
Molecule: ribosomal RNA, 296 nt
Filed under: uncultured Desulfocapsa sp.
Lineage: Bacteria; Pseudomonadati; Thermodesulfobacteriota; Desulfobulbia; Desulfobulbales; Desulfocapsaceae
Description: partial 16S ribosomal RNA
Rfam family: Bacterial small subunit ribosomal RNA
Source: RNAcentral